RNAcentral lists this transfer RNA (73 nucleotides) under Oreochromis niloticus (Nile tilapia). It matches the Rfam family "tRNA". Rfam says of the family: Transfer RNA (tRNA) molecules are approximately 80 nucleotides in length. Their secondary structure includes four short double-helical elements and three loops (D, anti-codon, and T loops). Further hydrogen bonds mediate the characteristic L-shaped molecular structure. tRNAs have two regions of fundamental functional importance: the anti-codon, which is responsible for specific mRNA codon recognition, and the 3' end, to which the tRNAs corresponding amino acid is attached (by aminoacyl-tRNA synthetases). tRNAs cope with the degeneracy of the genetic code in two manners: having more than one tRNA (with a specific anti-codon) for a particular amino acid; and 'wobble' base-pairing, i.e. permitting non-standard base-pairing at the 3rd anti-codon position. The record is from Rfam by way of RNAcentral. Lineage: Eukaryota; Metazoa; Chordata; Actinopteri; Cichliformes; Cichlidae.
GCCGAAAUAGCUCAGUUGGGAGAGCGCCAGACUGAAGAUCUGGAGGGCCUUGAUUCAAUCCAGAGUUUUCCCC